AACGAACGCUGGCGGCAGGCUUAACACAUGCAAGUCGAACGCCCCGCAAGGGGAGUGGCAGACGGGUGAGUAACGCGUGGGAAUCUACCGUGCCCUACGGAAUAACUCCGGGAAACUGGAACUAAUACCGUAUACGCCCUUUGGGGGAAAGAUUUAUCGGGGUAUGAUGAGCCCGCGUUGGAUUAGCUAGUUGGUGGGGUAAAGGCCUACCAAGGCGACGAUCCAUAGCUGGUCUGAGAGGAUGAUCAGCCACAUUGGGACUGAGACACGGCCCAAACUCCUACGGGAGGCAGCAGUGGGGAAUAUUGGACAAUGGGCGCAAGCUUGAUCCAGCCAUGCCGCGUGAGUGAUGAAGGCCCUAGGGUUGUAAAGCUCUUUCACCGGUGAAGAUAAUGACGGUAGCCGGAGAAGAAGCCCCGGCUAACUUCGUGCCAGCCGCCGCCGUAA
Molecule: ribosomal RNA, 447 nt
Filed under: uncultured bacterium
Lineage: Bacteria
Description: partial 16S ribosomal RNA
Rfam family: Bacterial small subunit ribosomal RNA
Source: RNAcentral